GUGUCUUUCCGUUUAGGGCGACGAUGCCGCUAGGCGUGUACAGAGAGAACUGCUGCAAAAAACGAGCUGGGCGGAAGGAGGUGAUGGAGUCACCUGAAACCCGCACACGAUCCAAAUACACGUGAUCGGAGUGAGCCUGAAGUUGUAAUCAUUGAGGCGGGCCCAUGCAGAAGAGAUGGGUGGCUUGAAAUAAAACCUUGAAAGGAGGACAUCUUGCUCUGAUCCUACACAAGCUUGGAAGACUGCAGCACCGUAUGUCAGACUGAAUGGGAGGAUGGCAAGGGAAAUUGAAGUCUUCCAAGUGUUGCGCAAGGGUUCCUGGUUGCUGCCCGAUGGUUGGCUUGAAGCAGAACGGCUGAGACUUGAAGGAGAAAUCAUUUCAGUGUCCCAGGAGUGUUGCUGUACAAUAAAUGCAUGGUUUUGCACCAUGGCAAAU
Molecule: long non-coding RNA, 436 nt
Organism: Lacerta agilis (Sand lizard)
Lineage: Eukaryota; Metazoa; Chordata; Lepidosauria; Squamata; Lacertidae
Exons: 4
Source: RefSeq, a predicted model, not a curated record